This is a non-coding RNA of Nematostella vectensis (starlet sea anemone), 72 nucleotides long. NCBI's taxonomy places the organism in Eukaryota, Metazoa, Cnidaria, Anthozoa, Actiniaria, Edwardsiidae. The record is from Rfam.
GGCUCAGCGGUCUAGUGGUAUGAUUCUCGCUUUGGGUGCGAGAGGCCAUGGGUUCGAUUCCCGUCUGAGCCC